GUACAACUUAACCGGAUAGGCAAAGGAAGUCUUGGUGAAAUUCCAAGCGCUGCCCCGCAACGGUAAUUCCGCGCUUCAAAGCGCGGAGAGCCCGGACGAUUGCCUAUCUUAGGAAGUAUUC
This 121-nucleotide non-coding RNA is filed under the name Candidatus Omnitrophota bacterium. The record is from RNAcentral. Lineage: Bacteria; Pseudomonadati; Candidatus Omnitrophota.